GAUGAACGCUGGCGGCAUGCUUUACACAUGCAAGUCGGACGGGAAGUGGUGUUUCCCGUGGCGGACGGGUGAGUAACGCGUAAGAACCUGCCCUUGGGAGGGGAACAACAGCUGGAAACGGCUGCUAAUACCCCGUAGGCUGAGGAGCGAAAGGAGGAAUCCGCCCAAGGAGGGGCUCGCGUCUGAUUAGCUAGGUGGUGAGGUAAUAGCUUACCAAGGCCGUGAUCAGUAGCUGGUCCGAGAGGAUGAUCAGCCACACUGGGACUGAGACAAGGACCAGACUCCUGCGGGAGGCAGCAGUGGGGAAUUUUCCGCAAUGGGCGAAAGCCUGACGGAGCAAUGCCGCGUGGAGGUAAAAGGCCUACGGGUCAUGAACUUCUUUUCCUGGAGAAGAAACAAUGACGGUAUCUGGGGAAUAAGCACCGGCUAACUCUGUG
RNAcentral lists this ribosomal RNA (437 nucleotides) under uncultured bacterium. RNAcentral's name for it is "partial 16S ribosomal RNA". It matches the Rfam family "Bacterial small subunit ribosomal RNA", at positions 28 to 507 of the family's 1533-position model. The record is from RNAcentral.